RNAcentral lists this ribosomal RNA (792 nucleotides) under Psychrobacter nivimaris. RNAcentral's name for it is "bacterial SSU rRNA". It matches the Rfam family "Bacterial small subunit ribosomal RNA", at positions 503 to 1294 of the family's 1533-position model. Lineage: Bacteria; Pseudomonadati; Pseudomonadota; Gammaproteobacteria; Moraxellales; Moraxellaceae. The record is from RNAcentral.
CUGUGCCAGCAGCCGCGGUAAUACAGAGGGUGCAAGCGUUAAUCGGAAUUACUGGGCGUAAAGCGAGCGUAGGUGGCUUGAUAAGUCAGAUGUGAAAUCCCCGGGCUUAACCUGGGAACUGCAUCUGAAACUGUUAGGCUAGAGUAGGUGAGAGGGAAGUAGAAUUUCAGGUGUAGCGGUGAAAUGCGUAGAGAUCUGAAGGAAUACCGAUGGCGAAGGCAGCUUCCUGGCAUCAUACUGACACUGAGGCUCGAAAGCGUGGGUAGCAAACAGGAUUAGAUACCCUGGUAGUCCACGCCGUAAACGAUGUCUACUAGUCGUUGGGUCCCUUGAGGACUUAGUGACGCAGCUAACGCAAUAAGUAGACCGCCUGGGGAGUACGGCCGCAAGGUUAAAACUCAAAUGAAUUGACGGGGGCCCGCACAAGCGGUGGAGCAUGUGGUUUAAUUCGAUGCAACGCGAAGAACCUUACCUGGUCUUGACAUAUCUAGAAUCCUGCAGAGAUGCGGGAGUGCCUUCGGGAAUUAGAAUACAGGUGCUGCAUGGCUGUCGUCAGCUCGUGUCGUGAGAUGUUGGGUUAAGUCCCGCAACGAGCGCAACCCUUGUCCUUAGUUACCAGCGGGUUAAGCCGGGAACUCUAAGGAUACUGCCAGUGACAAACUGGAGGAAGGCGGGGACGACGUCAAGUCAUCAUGGCCCUUACGACCAGGGCUACACACGUGCUACAAUGGUAGGUACAGAGGGCAGCUACACAGCGAUGUGAUGCGAAUCUCAAAAAGCCUAUCGUAGUCC